Long non-coding RNA from Myotis lucifugus (little brown bat), 3309 nucleotides. RefSeq lists it as uncharacterized. NCBI's taxonomy places the organism in Eukaryota, Metazoa, Chordata, Mammalia, Chiroptera, Vespertilionidae. The transcript has 2 exons. The record is from RefSeq and is a predicted model, not a curated record.
CCCGCAUGUGGUAUUUUGUGGAAGAGCCACACUCAAGGGGCCGCAGUACGUGAAUGAACGAACCGUUGACCUUAGUGAGAUUUUCAAAAUAGAUGGCGUCUUUACUAAUGAGAUCAAUUCCUGCGCUGGGAGAGCCUGGACCAAGUGUCCUCAACACUCCUUCCCAAUCUGACAUCCUGUGAGAACAAGAACGGUCAGACGGUCCAAUUGUACGAGUCAGGAAGUUUCUCUUCCUCCAGGGCAGCGAGAAAGGUCAAGGAACUGGAACCGUGAAGCCGUGGCUGGAAAAAGAAUGAAAAGCCCUUUUCGCAAUCUCCCCAAGUCCUCCCAAAGAAACACACCCUAGAACUGGAUGCAUCUUCCAGUUUUGAAUUACGGUCUUGGACAAUACUGGGUCUUCUAGUCCUGCCCUGGACCUUUGACCUCGUGUGAAAAGCAGAAAGGCCUGGUGUGCCCACCGAGAUGCGGGCAUACGUUUUCCGAACGCGCCAUCUCCUGGCCACAGGCGGAAACCCACGCGCAGAUCUAGGUUCCUUGUUUGUUUACAGUGAGGCGCCAGUCCCCGCCACCCGGGAAGCUGGGCAGGAAACAGUCUUGCUCCCCAGAAUUCAAUCCUGGCCUCCCGGAGCCGACAGCUUGAAAUGCAUUCAGAUUCAACGACGGGACCGUUUCCAAAGUUCAGAGCUUGUUUAUUUGGAAGCACAUCUUUCUACCACGGAGCGGUUGCUCGUGCAUCUCUAAUGUGGUAGGUAGCCCCUUUGGAAAGGGGACUGGGAUGAGAGCCUUUCCUAAAAGUGCUGAGCUGCCAUCGUCAUUGAUGGGCAAGGCAUUUGUUUUUGUUUGGGGGGAUUUAUUUAUUUGUUUAUUGGUGUCUGAACGCGCUCAGAACUAUUUCUGUGACUCUGAUAAAGAGAGGUUGAGAGAGAGGAAGAGGGAGAACCAGGAUCUGAAACCCCAAUCUAUGUACUGUGACCAAAGGCUGACCAAGGGCACAGGCAAAGGAGCUAUUCCAGGCCGACCCUGAUUUGUGGGUCCUUGGACAGGGUCCAUGAACUGCUUCGCUAAAUUGUAUCUGAAAACCCCAGUUGGCAGGGUUUUUUCUGGAAUAGAGAGCCACCAGGACCACUUGGUCGUAAGGUACAGGUUGAAGUCACACAGCAUGCCCCCACGAAUGUUUCUCGGGACACCGGCCCCUCCAGAUGCUUGGCCAAAAAGAAAAAAAAAGAUGUUUUCACUCAAAAAAGCGAGUGACAUGCUCUGGGUCAUGUCUGCCUUCUAGGAGACUCCCGAGGCACACGAACUUCCGAAGGGUCUGAGACAUCUGACUGAAGUAAAGGAACAUUUUUGUGACAAAUUAAUGUGGCUUCAAUCAACGUUUCAAAACUUCAUUGGCCGAGGAAUACUCAUGUAGCGACCGUCUAACUGGACCUCCAGGAGCCAGGGCCCCCAGGAACGGUCUCGGGAAACUGCUCAUCAACAAGCAGGUACGGGAGUCUUUUGUUGGUCUCCCAGCACCAGGAGAGCCCAGCCUCAACACGAGGACCAUGCGCGUUGCCGCGAGACCGUGAAAACAGCUCUAUGGCUGGAGAACAGAGCGGAGAGACUGACCCAAUAGGUCCUUCAGUCGCUGAGGGUUAGGGUUAGGGUUAGGCUUUGCCCAUAAUAACGACCUGACCCCCAGGAAAUGGCAGCGCAGCUUGUAGUUAUGACAACAGCAACAACAAGAUCACCUUCCCCAUAAACCACGUGGUAGAGAACCAGCCAAGUGUUACCCGAGCAGCUGGCUUCCAACUCUCCACGUGGAGCCCUUUCCCAAUCCAGCACAUUCCAGAGAACCAGAUCAUUCCAUUCUCCGCCGGCCUUCAAACAUUCGCAGGAAUCACAGACGUUGGAAAACUUGGCCAAAAGAGAAAAACGACAAAAGGAGUGAUACAAGGAGGAGCUUGACAUCUACCUGAAAUUCCUCUCAAAGGCCAGUGGGAGCGUGCCACUCCUCUAGCCCAUGGUGUGCACCCACACGGCCUUGUGUUACUGUUAUCUGCUCUCCCCGGGUCACAUGCUUCAAGUAUUGCAAAUCCCUGAGCUUCCCUGGGAAGCUGUGGAGUCCCCACGUCAUGGAUCUCCCAGGACCUUGCACAGACAUUCGUGGGCUCGUCUGCCAGCCAUGAAGCUCCAGGGCAGGUUCACCCGCGAUUGCCAAGGAUGCAGCACAUGGGCUUUGCUUUCGUUGGCCCUUGCCUGGUGCUCUUCCCACAGCAAGACAGCGAAGGGUGUUUUCUUCUGGCUGCUCUUCCUUAGCAGAGAAAACACUGCACCUCCCUCCUUGAGGGUGUGGUGCCUUAGAAUCUCCUGGAGAAUCACAGGGGCAGCCACCUGGGGACAGACCUCCUGCCAAGACUCCCAGGCUCGUUGCUCGCCAUCCUGACUCACCCUCCUAACACCAGGGCAGCUCGGUCAGUCUAUGAGAACGUGGUACUUGUACAGAAGAAAUCCUAGUUGUUUCUAACCAUGUUUUACACUCAGACGCCCUUAACGAGAGAGAAAAAGGUCUGAAAAUGAAAUCAAGACAAUAGGAUGUUUUCAAGAGGGUGAAGGAUACAGGUCAAAGAAUCACGACUAAUUGAUGAUGAAGAUUUUUAAAAAGAGACCUCCCUAAUAGUUCAUCAUUGGUCAAGUUUUUGCUGUGUUCUAGGCCCUAUCCUAAGUGCCUAUGUAGAUUUUCUCAUCAAAUCCUCUCAAAAACUUUUUAAGAGGGUGCAAUUAUUAUCCCCAACGAAAACCGAGAAAACACAGAAGCUCGGUGGGGUUAAGCAACAUGGGAAACUUUGGGCUCCUCUUCAUUCCUUUAAAAUCUGUAUCUGGGUAAAGUCACGUUUUAAAAACCCUGAAGAGGAAAAAAGAAAACAUAAUUUCAACAUGUCCUAGAUUGCAUUUAUAAUAGAAGGGUGUCCGGGCCUGGCUGGAUGAGUGGGAUCUCAAUGCCUUCAGGUGUUGGCUGGAUGAGCCUUCUUCUUUCGCAACCAACUGUUCCUGAAGCCUGGGCUGACGUCGUCAACCAACUCUGAAAGCAAAUAUGUGGUCUGAGUGGUUUCACCCUGGGUCCUGGUCUCACCUCUCAGGCUGGGACCUUCUCUGCUGGAACGGAGGAGGGACAGGAGGUCUAAACAGAAGCAGAAUAGAAAAGCUCAAAGCUGCAGAGGACCAUCAUGAACUGUAUGAGCGCCGCACCACUGUACUGUACCCCCAACACUCAUACAAAAUAAUCUUGAGUGUCAACUGUAUUUAAAAUAAAAUUUUUUUGAUGAAGAA